UGGUCAUUACCAAGGCUUUUAGAAUGCAGUUUCUGAAUUGCUGUGGACAUGACCUUAAAGAAAGUGCCCGUUAGGUUUGUGUUAUGCUACCUUGCUAGCAUUCAGCCAACGGGGAACAUGU
Molecule: small nucleolar RNA, 121 nt
Organism: Sorex araneus (European shrew)
Lineage: Eukaryota; Metazoa; Chordata; Mammalia; Eulipotyphla; Soricidae
Product: small nucleolar RNA SNORA32
Exons: 1
Source: RefSeq, a predicted model, not a curated record